AUGAGCAUAUCUUCAGGUGUCUUGAGCUCAGGCUGGAGACUCCUUCAGCAGCAGGACACGCUCAGGAAAGAUUCUGGAGUGUUUCUGUGGGAUUUUUUGGGGGAAUGUUGGACUGAACCAUUCCAGCACAUCCCAAAGCUGUUGGAUGGUUUGAGGUCUGGGUGGACCAAUCCAGUUCUUCCACACCAAACUCAUCCAACCGUGUCUUAUGGAGUGUCUUUGUGCACUGGGGCUCAGUCAUGCUGGAAUAGAAAAGGGUCUUCCCCAAACUGAUCCCACAAAGAUGGAAGCAUAGUAUUGUCCAAAAUGCCUUGAUAUGCUAAAGCAUUAAGAUUUCCUUUCAGUGGAAGUAAGAGGCCUAUCCCAACCCCUGAACAACAGCCCCAUCCCAUUAUCUUUACAGCUGGCACAGGGAACCAUGUCCUGGUAUCCAUCAAACCCAGACUCGCCCAUCAGACUGUGACAGAACAGGUUUCCUCUGCUCCAGAGUCCAGUAUCUGCGUGCUUUACACACUUCAUCCUACCGGGCUCAGCAUUGGUGAUGUGAGGCUUUCCUGCAGCUGUUGAAACCCAUCCCAUGAAGCUCCCGCCGCACAGUUUUUGUGCUGAUAUUAAUGCCAGUGGACGUUCAGCUGUGUAAUCAGCAGAGCGUUGGUGACUUUUACUCUCCGUGUACUUCAGCACUCUGUGACUUUACCUUCUGCUUCGAGGCUGGGAUGCUGCUGUUCCUCAACACUUUCCAAUAAUACUACUAGAUGUUUGUGGAAUAUCUAUCAGACAGUGUUGGGGGUAAUGCAUUACACAUAAUGCAAAUUACGUAAUCAGAUUACCUUUUUCAAGUAACUAGUAAAGUAACAGCACAGCUGAAAGGUUUGUUUGAGCUGCACCCUCGACUGUACAGACGCCAAACUACAAUUCCUUCAGCCUGAGGCUCAUUCAUUCACUUCUGGUGUGAAAGGCUUUUAAAUUUGCCAAAAAUAUGGUAGCACUUUAUUUUACAGUCCUGUUCCUCAUGUACAUACUAUGUACUUAUUUUAGUAAUUACAAUAACUAUGUAAUAACUAGGUACUAACCCUGAACCUACCCCUAAACCUAACCCUACCCCAUGUAGUUACCUUGUAUUACCAGAACUUUCUUAGAUAAAUACACUGUAAGUGCACUAUAAGUACAUAUAAGUACACGUACUGUAAAAUAAAGUGCAACCUAUAACAUUUUUAUAUUAAAAA
Molecule: long non-coding RNA, 1226 nt
Organism: Cyprinus carpio (common carp)
Lineage: Eukaryota; Metazoa; Chordata; Actinopteri; Cypriniformes; Cyprinidae
Source: Ensembl